UACGUAGGGUGCAAGCGUUGUCCGGAAUUAUUGGGCGUAAAGAGCUCGUAGGCGGUUUGUCGCGUCGGCUGUGAAAACCUGGGGCUCAACCUGGGAACUGCAUUUGUGUACUGUAGAGCUGGAGUGCGGGCAGAGGGGGGAUGGAAUUCCGCGUGUAGCAGUGAAAUGCGUAGAUAUGCGGAGGAACACCGAUGGCGAAGGCAACUCCCCUGGGCCUGCACUGACGCUCAUGCACGAAAGCGUGGGGAGCAAACAGG
RNAcentral lists this ribosomal RNA (257 nucleotides) under uncultured bacterium. RNAcentral's name for it is "partial 16S ribosomal RNA". It matches the Rfam family "Bacterial small subunit ribosomal RNA", at positions 524 to 776 of the family's 1533-position model. The record is from RNAcentral.